RNAcentral lists this ribosomal RNA (253 nucleotides) under uncultured bacterium. RNAcentral's name for it is "partial 16S ribosomal RNA". It matches the Rfam family "Bacterial small subunit ribosomal RNA", at positions 524 to 776 of the family's 1533-position model. The record is from RNAcentral.
UACGGAGGGGGCUAGCGUUGUUCGGAAUUACUGGGCGUAAAGCGCACGUAGGCGGACAUUUAAGUCAGGGGUGAAAUCCCGGGGCUCAACCCCGGAACUGCCUUUGAUACUGGGUGUCUGGAGGUCGAGAGGGGUGAGUGGAAUUCCGAGUGUAGAGGUGAAAUUCGUAGAUAUUCGGAGGAACACCAGUGGCGAAGGCGGCUCACUGGCUCGAUACUGACGCUGAGGUGCGAAAGCGUGGGGAGCAAACAGG